Molecule: long non-coding RNA, 797 nt
Organism: Galeopterus variegatus (Sunda flying lemur)
Lineage: Eukaryota; Metazoa; Chordata; Mammalia; Dermoptera; Cynocephalidae
Exons: 2
Source: RefSeq, a predicted model, not a curated record
UAUAUGGGAUAAUAAAAAGAGUAGCUAACACGUAAUGAAUGCAUUCAGUGCAGCUGGUGAAGUACAUAAGUCCUUUAUGCACCUUGUCUUAUGUAAUUCUCAGCAGUCUAGUCAUGGAGGUACUGUUUUUGUGCCUUUUUUUGCAGGGGCCUUUAAAGAAGUGACUUGUCCAUAGUCUCACCCUACUAAGGGCAGACUUAGAAGCUGAGCUCAUGAUGUGAGAUUCUGAAGCCUUCUGGCCCAACUCACCAUUUGCUGAAGGUUGGUGCAUCCUGUUGAAAUCCCAGAGGUCUGCAGUCUUCCCAUGGACCAAGGAGAUGUGCAAUGUUUAAAGAGGCUUGAAGAGGGCAUGGAGGAGAAGAGGCCGGGGGCAGUUUUUGUGCGUAUGUGCAUGCUGCUUGUGGCCUGUAGCCUUCAUCAGCUGCACUCUGGGAAAGGGGAGGCCUCUUUCUGCCUCCUGGCAUCUCUGGAUUCCAUGUUCCGGUCAGCACAAAGGUGCUAAAUAACCUGUGGAGGCUGAAGGUCUGGGGCUUCUAAGGCUGAAGAGAAGGCUGGGCCAGUCAGGUCAAGUGGGAACCGCCAGUACAAGUCUCUGAGGGCUUCAUGCUUGGGGGAAGCUGGGGAUGAAGAUGGUUGUUUGUAGGGUCGGCGGGGAGGUGGCAGUGAGGGUGAAGUUUUUUAUCUUCUUUAGUCACUGGGCCCAUCUUGAUUGCUCUCCUGCUUCUCAUGGGGAAGAAUGGGCCCAGUGACCUUGUUCACCUGAAAGUGUGUGGAAUGAACGCCUCCUUCUAGUGGGA